GUGUCAGCAGCCGCGGUAAUACGGAGGAUGCAAGCGUUAUCCGGAAUUAUUGGGCGUAAAGCGUCCGCAGGUGGUUUUGCAAGUCUGCUGUCAAAGCGUGGAGCUUAACUCCAUAUAGGCAGUGGAAACUGUGAGACUAGAGUGUGGUAGGGGCAGAGGGAAUUCCCAGUGUAGCGGUGAAAUGCGUAGAUAUUGGGAAGAACACCAGUGGCGAAGGCGCUCUGCUGGGCCAUAACUGACACUGAGGGACGAAAGCUAGGGGAGCGAAAGGGAUUAGAAACCCCCGUAGUCC
This 292-nucleotide ribosomal RNA is filed under the name uncultured bacterium. Its description in RNAcentral is "partial 16S ribosomal RNA". It matches the Rfam family "Bacterial small subunit ribosomal RNA", at positions 505 to 796 of the family's 1533-position model. The record is from RNAcentral.